GGUUCCAUAGUGUAGUGGUUAUCACGUCUGCUUUACACCGAGAAGGUCCUGGGUUCGAGCCCCAGUGGAACCA
This is a non-coding RNA of Chiroxiphia lanceolata (lance-tailed manakin), 73 nucleotides long. Lineage: Eukaryota; Metazoa; Chordata; Aves; Passeriformes; Pipridae. The record is from the annotation of a RefSeq genome assembly.